GGGUGGUCACGGGCACCGGGCGGCCGCGCGGAAAGGAGCGGCCUCCCCCGGGGCCGGGCGCGCGGAGAGCGGCGAGGAAAGCCCGGGCUGGGCUGGGCUAGGCUGGCCACCGCGCUGGCGACGGGAGCAGACGCGGGUCCCGGGAGACGCCUCCCAGCGCCCCUGUCUCUCGCUCUCGCCGUCUCCCGGUGCAGCCCGCACCCGCCUCCCUCCAAACGCUGGCGGCCCGCGCUGCAGGCGCCUCCCCUCCUGGGGGUGCUGAGGCUUGAGCGAAAUCCCACUGGACAGUAACCGGCUUCAGCGGAGCGAAAACUCAGCCGCACUCCAGCUACGCUCCAGGGCAAGCUGCGCCGGGCACCGUUUCUUCCUUGUGACGUUCAAAAGAAUGCAGAUGGGUUACCAACUACAGGAGAGGUUAAACUUGAGGGCGUGCUUUUUAAAUUCAUUAUCAACGUUUUCAUGGAAAGAACCGGCUAAGGAGUCGAUCUGUCUUCCAGUUUUAUCCCUAGACUCAAAUUAGGACAUGGGCUGGCUCUCAGUGAGCACUCAGUAAACAGCAAGUCUCCUCCUGCCCUUUGAAAAAGCGUUUCGGAUCAUCUUGGCAUUGUAAGCGAUUUUCAUCUAGUUCCAGUCCAAGUGUGACUGGCUUUACACAGGUUACUCCCCCUCCUGGACUUUCAGGUUCGUUCUUUCAGCAUCUUUUCAGGGCCCUCAAUCAUGCCAUCAUGUCAAAUGCAUUCACAAAUUUUAAAAACAAAUCGUCAAGUCAAAAACACAUAAUUGAUCUAGCCCGUCCCCAGCCCUCUAAUUCUUCAGGAUCCUGCAAACCGACUUCUGUGCCGGCUGUUCCACGGGGACUGCACUGACGAAAGUCACUUCGUGGUUUUGAAAAUCCCCUAAACCAUUGUAUAUUUUCCAAUGCCCGUCUUACUUGACCUAUUUGCAGCGUUUGCACUGUUGAUCAGAUAUUUAUUUAUUUUCAGACAGGAUCUCGCUCUGUCGCCCAAGCUGGAGUGCAGUGGCGCGAUCAUGGCUCCCUGUAUCCUCGACCUCCUGGGCUAAAGCGAUCCUCUCGCCUCAGCCUCUCCAGCACUGGGACUACAGGCGGGCGCCACAAAGCUCAACUAAUUGUUUUAUUGUUAGUAGAGACGAGGGGGGACUCACUACGUUACCCAAGCUGGCCUCAAGCGAUCCUUUGGUCUGGGCCUCCCAAAACGCUGGGAUUACAGGAGUGAGCCAAUGCGCCUGGCCCCGAUUUUUAUUCUUGAAACCAUCCCUUCCAUUGGCUCUGUGACACCUCGGUCUCCGUGUUUCCUAACCUUUUCUUGCUCAGCCACCUCUUGCAUGUUGGAGCAUCUAAAUGGUCUUGCCCUUAGUCUGUCUCUAAUGCUGCCUAGGCACAUGGCUUCAAUUACCAACCAUGUGCUGAUAACUCAUAAAUUUCCAUUUCUGUCCCACAUCUCCAGUUCUAUAAAACGAACUUUUUACCAGAAAUCUCUACCCAGAUGUCCCAUCGGCCUUAAACUCAACUUGACUAAAACAGAACUCAACUUUCCUGCCAGCUGGCUUUUCUCUCUAGUCUCAUUCUCAGUAAAUGUCACCACAAUCCACUUAGUCACCCAAAGGAGAAAUCUGGAAAUUAUCCCAGGCUUUUCCUUCUCUCAUCUGCUGUCUGCCCAUCCAUGCACCUAUCAUUUCUGUCUAUCACCUUCCCUCCAUUCCACUGCUUUUUGCCUAGUUUCAGGUCUCUUGUUUCAAGACCCUGAAACACUAUAUUACUCUCCUUAUUAGUCUCACUGCCUCUAAGUUUGUUGCACCUCCACCCUUGCCAUCUCACGUUGUGACCGAAGUAAGCCUUCUAAAAUACAAAUUUUUGACCAAGUCAUUCCCCACAUCAGCCCUGCCAAUGGCUCCCCAUAGCCUGCAGGGUAAAGUCCCGAUAUCUUAGCCAGGGCCUAAGUCUCCACUCUCUUUAAACAGUGAGUUUCUUGCACCACCAUUCCCUGUUGGGCCACUUACUUUUAUGCUGUGCCCUCACAUGGAGUGUCCUUUCUCUUACACAGCCUAAGUUUACCUGCUCUUUCAAGAUUCACCCUAAGAGUCACAUUCCUUAUGAAAUCAUUUCUGACCCUGCUGCAGGUUAGAACUGAUUUCACUGAGCUUUCUCUACACUAAAUGCCUCUCUCCCCCAAUUAUAAUGCUUUAGAAGACUUUAUUAAACUCAGUUUUUAUUUAUAGUCUUCCUGAUGGCAAGUAUUAUGACAGACUUACUUUCGUCUUCUUAGUUCCCAGUACAGUUCCUGACAUUAGUAGGUGCUCAGUGUUUGUGGAAUGAAUUAAUUAUGUGAUGUACCUUGAGUUAUUAUAUUUUUGUGGCUUAUAGAAAAUCGUUUUCCCAUGCGUUAUCUCAUUUCACUCUUGACAGUUCUGCAAAAGAUAUAUCAUUAUCACCUUUUAUAGAAAUGGAAACUGAAGCUACAAAGGAAUAAAGCAAUCUGCCCAAGGUUCUACUGUAUAUACUUCAGAGCCAGGACUUGAACUCAGUUUGCCCAGUUCAGUUCAUUAUAUGUUUGCCUGUUUCUAUGGUCUGAAUGUUUAUGUCUCCCCAAAAUUCAUAUGUUGAAAUCCUCAUUCCCAGGGUGAUGGUAUUAGGAAGUAGGAAUUUUGGAAGACUAUUUGGUCAUGAGGGUUGAGCCCUCAUAAAUGGGAUUAGUGCCCUUAUAAAAGAGGUCCAGAAAGAGACUUCUGACUCCUUCUGCCAUGUGAGGUUAAAGUGAGCAGAUGGCUAACUAUGAGGAAACGGGCCCUCGCCAGACAACACAUCUGCAUCUUGCACUUCCCAGCCUCCAGAGCUGUAAGAAAUACAUUUCUGUUAUUAGCCACCCAGGCUAUGGUAUGUUGUUAGAGCAGCCGAAACAGACUAUGACAGCUAUCCAUUAUUUUUCCCCUUAAAUUCUGUUUAGUAUGAUUCUAUUUUGUAGAUUUUUGUUAGUGGUUGCCAAGAAUCUCUCCAUCUUUUUAUUUUAAACCAGUCUGAGUCAUUAUGUUUUAAGUGUGUCUUGUAAAUAACACUUGAAUUUUUAUAUUAUUGACCCGUUCUGAGAGUCUGCCUUUUAGUAGUCUAUUUUCAUCUGUUUUCAUUUAUCAUGUCUAUUAAUUAGAAUAAAAAGUUGUCAUAAGAAAGAUCCUUCCCCCUGCCUCACCAGACACACAGUGUUGCUUUCUCUCAUGGAACAGUGCCAGGAUUAGUGGUCAGUUUGUUGGGGGUGGCUUCUUUGUUCCACAUUGCCGUUCCAAUUUCUAGAGCAUUGCCCUUAUCUACAGGGUGAAAGCUGAUUAGGGAGACCCUGUUUAAGGAAGGAAGAAGAGAGCAUAAAGGAGCACAAACCCAACUGCUUAAGGCCCAGACCCAGAAGUGAGUGGUGACCCACUUCUCACCUGCUCAUAUCCCAAUGGCCAGAACUUAGUUUCAUGACCGUAGCUAGCAGCAAAGGAGCAGGAAAAUGAGGUCACUAGCUGGACAGCUGUAUCCCAACCGCAAUUCUAUUACUACCGAAGACUUAACAGAUUUUGCUGAAAACUAGCACUCUCUGUUAAAUUAUGAUGACUAUCUUUGGAUUUAUUACCACAUUCUCAUUUUGUAUUUAUUUCACUUUCUUUUUCUUUGCUUCUUUUUUCUCCUUUCUUGCCUGCUGUUUUAUUAAUUGAAUUGAUUGAAUUUUCUUUAGUUUACUCACUUUUCUAAACACUUCUACUGAUUUAAAAUGUAUACCUCCUGUUUCAAUUCUUAGUGAUUACCCUUAAAAUGUUAACAUUUAUACUUAAUAUCAAAGGUUAGUUAAUAUCUCCCCCUUCUUUUCAAGAUCUUAAACAAAAGAAAACAUUUUAACUCUCAAAUUCCCCUCCUAUAAACUAUGUAUUACUGUCUAGUAUUUUUAAAUUCCCUCUUAUUUUAAAUUCUCUACUGAUUAGUCAUCAUUGUUACUGCUUUUAUAGUUAUUAUCUAAUUCAAUUUACCAACAUAUUUUACCAAUGUUUUCUCUUAUUGCUUGUUUUUUUAUCUCAUGCUUUCCUUUUGGGCUUAAUUUCUGUCUUGAGGAAGCACAUUCUUUAGGAGUUCUUUCACCAAAGGUCUGUGGGUAAAAUUUUCUACAACUUUGUAUAUCACUCUCACUCCAUUUCCCUUAUGCUUUUGAGUAAUAAUUUUAUCAGCUAGGGAAUUCUAAAUUGACAUCAUUGACACUAACAUUUCAAAGUGACUAUUCCAUUAUCUUUUGUCAUCUGCUGCUGUUGAUUAGAAGUCUGCAGUCAGUCUCAUUAUCACUUACAGAUUUUUUUUUCUCUCUAGUUAACAUUUUCUUUUAUCACUUGAUAUUUGCAUUAUUGCACUGUUUCAAGGUGGGUUUUGUUUUUGUAUAUCUUGUUCAGGACUUGGUGUGCAUUUUAACCUGAAGACCCCAAAAUCCUUCAAUUCUGGAAAUUUUUCAGCCCUUAUGUAUUCAAAUAUUACUUACCCCACCCCCUACUCCAUGCAUUUUCCUCUGUUUUAUCCUUCUAGAGCUCCUAUUAGCUAUGGGCUGGAGUUUCUCAUUUUAUCCUCCAUGUCUUAAUUUUUCUUUAGAAUUUUCCAUCUUUUUACUUCUCUUUGCUAGUCUUGGGUAAUUUCCUCAAAUUUAUUAUCUGAUUCCCUAAUUCUCUUUGCAAUUAUAUUCAGUCUAUAAUAUGUCCAUUAACUUUUUAUUUACAUUUCUAGAAUGUUCAUUAUUUUUCAAAUUUACAUUCUUUUUUCAUAAUAUCUAACUUUCUCUUAGAGUCUAGUCUUUCUUUGUCUUUUUAAACAUUUUAAACACAUUUAUUUAGAAGUGGGUUUCAAGUUGAUCUAUUAUCUAGAGUUGCUGGUGUGUAAAUUCUCGCAUUUGUUGCCUUUGCUGACUCAUAUUUGCAGUGGCUUGUUUCCUUGCAAGCUUUAUGUUUUCUGUGAGCUUCUCUUCAGUAGGACUUGUUCUCCGUGGAAGUAAUGCAUGCCUUAUGGAGCCACCUAUCUAGAGGGGUCUUACUUUUGACUCUGCCAGGAAUCUAUAGGUUUACUUGGCUCACUCAUAUUCUGGCAGCUGAUGCUGGAAGACUCAAAACAGCUGAGGGC
RNAcentral lists this long non-coding RNA (5143 nucleotides) under Homo sapiens (human). RNAcentral describes it as "non-protein coding lnc-VWA8-9:2". Lineage: Eukaryota; Metazoa; Chordata; Mammalia; Primates; Hominidae. The record is from RNAcentral.